This is a long non-coding RNA of Capsicum annuum, 7034 nucleotides long. RefSeq lists it as uncharacterized. The transcript has 3 exons. The record is from RefSeq and is a predicted model, not a curated record. NCBI's taxonomy places the organism in Eukaryota, Viridiplantae, Streptophyta, Magnoliopsida, Solanales, Solanaceae.
CUAUUUUUUUUUCCUCACCCAACUUGAAGAAAAACAUAGUGUUGCUUUGUUGUGUCAAUACAAAUUGAGGCUGUGGUGGAGACGACAUCGGCAUUUUAGAGUUCUUGACGUAGGAAAUAAUGGAGUAUUAUCUUUUAAUUUUUGGGGGGCAUGUCAUCAUCCAUAGAUGAUCUUCAGCCAUGUCACUGGCUAACUACUAAGGUACCUUCUAUUCUAGAUUUACAUAUUUCUCUGAUUCUGUCCCUAAUUGGUAUGUGCAGGGGCGGACCUAGUAUGGUUCAAGUGAGUUCAUAUGAACCCACUUCGUCGAAAAAUUAUACCGUAUAUAUCUGUAUAUAUAAUCAGUCCAACAGUAUAUAUUUAAAUUUGAACCCACUUCAAACUAAAUAAGUUGCCAGCCCAGUGGAAGCGGGUUCAAAUUUGGAUGCCCGCGUCGCGAGUUCAAACCUGGAUUGUAGCAGUCAUUUUAUAAAAUUUUUAGGCAAUCCUUUGAACAAGUUAAGCUGCUAGCCUAGUGGCAGCGGGUCCAAAUUCGAAAGCUCAGGUCGCAAGUGAACCUGGAUUGCAGCACUUUAACUUUUAAGCAGUCCUUUUUAUAUAUUGAACCCACUUGGUGAUAAGUUAGUCCGCCUCUGGGUAUGUGCAUGCAUGCUUUUAUCUUUGGUAACGGGGAAGUUCAAAGAUGGAAUGCAGAAUUUUUAACAAAUUGUUAUUGUUUGUUGUAACUUCAUCAGUUAUAUCAGCUAUAAGUUGCUUGUGUAUUAUCAAAUGCUUUUUAUUUUUUAAUUUGUAAAACUUUAAUUAAGAUACAAAAAAUAUGUUGAGAAGAAAAUUGUUUUUAAUUUAGCGAUCAACACGUUUGACGAAAUUCCUCAGUGAAAACAAGACUUGUUUGUCGCCGAGAGAAAUUAGUCCCAAAAGUUGGUCAUUUUGAAAGAUGUUACAGCCUAAUAAAAUUGAAGUAUGGGGUUUUCGUUCGCUUACUGUAAUUAUGUGCUUUUUGUCUAAAUGUUUUGUCCCACUGUGGAGAAAGGGCUACCAGUUAAGUGUUUUUAGAAUUAUCUAACUUUUUUUGCUCUUUUUCAUUGUAUUUCAUUGACUUGCAUGUGUAAUUCCACAACAGCAUUACUACUAUGUGUCUAACUUUUUGUUCGACAAGAAGAACAAGAUUUAACUUAAAGCUUUUCAAAAUCAGUAAGAUAAUUUUCCGGUAUAAUAUUAGUAGUUUUCCAACAACAACAACAAAAAAAGGAUAAAUUUUUGAAUGUUUGAGACUCCUGCUUCAAGUUGAUUUUUCCUGUGAGAUUUUUCAACUUCUAGGUGCUUUUUAGAGGAAGAAUUGGUGAAAGUUUUUUGAUGUUGUAGUGAAAUUAGUAACGGCAUUUAAGCUUAAAACUCAACAUAAGUUUUCACUGUCAUCUUUUUAUUAUUUGUAUCACAUUUCGAGGUAGUUAUCAGAGCUCUUUUAACUGAGAGCUACUGCUUUCGGAACAGUCUUUUGAUUUGUAGAUGGUGCAGGCAUUGGUACUCUCUCGAAUUCAACAGGUUUAGGGACAUCGGGAGGGCUAGCACAAAGUAUUAGUGCCGAAUUAACCCCUUCAAAGAAUGGGUGUUGUUUUAUCUCAGUUCCCCCUCUUUUGUAUCACAAUCUAUUCUGUGAUUCUUUUAUGAGUAAAUUCCUAAUCAGAUCCCUUACUGCAAAACUAACAACUGGUGAUUCUGGAAAUCUAAGAGGUUGUUCGACUACAUUGAAUGAUGUAGCUCGAUUACCAGAUCCUUUAAAUGGGGUGUUACCAAACAAGAGCUCAUAAAGAAAGAUCCCAAAAGUCCACCAAUCUACUGCACUUCCAUGACCUUCACCUUUGAUAAUCUCUGGUGCCAAGUAUUCAUGAGUUCCCACAAAUGACAUAGAGCGAGCACUUGUUGGUUCUGCCAUGAGUUCUGGUAAUGGAGUAACUUUGUUACCUAUGUCAUUUUUGGGUUUCCGAUCCUUCUUGGACUUACUGGGAAAUAGGCGGAGAGAUAGCAUAUCGUAGAAACGACACAUGAUGGUUGAAUGCAGGAAGGUUCAAUGCAUGCGGGAUGGACACAGUAACCAGAGUUCUUCCUGAGAGGCUCAGACUCUAGGGGAGAUGUCUCGACCAGCGUUGGGCUAAAAGAACAACAAAGUGACAGGUCAAAGUCCAAAAGCCUUAUAUGUCCAUCUUCUAACUCUAAUCAUAUUACGAGAAGAUUUUCCAAACAGAAGCAAUGUUUUUUCUAUGGAAUUACACAUUAAUUUAUGUUAUAACAUAUUAUACCUUUGUCAGCUAUUUUUAGAUUAAGUCAAUGGAUGGAUGCGUGGCUAUUUAUAUUAUUUCUUCUUAACUUAAUAAUGAAUUGUAAGACUUAUUUUAUGCGGGAACAGAAACUUCAGGAACAACAAUAAUAUGGGCCAUGACAGAAAUAAUGUGGAAUCCAGAAACUAAAUAAGUAUGCUUGUGUGGUAUGGUGGCUCACACUCAACUGAAUAAGUAUGCUUGUGUGGUAUGUUGGCUCACACUCAGGUAUUAAAUCUGAAUGUCAUCCCUCAGAGAUCGUUUACGUUGGAGAUACUGAUAACAAGAGGUGCUAUAAGAAUUUAGUAUGUUCUGGAUAGAUUCACUUCUUAAAGUUUCAUAAGCUCAGUUAGGAGACUUGCAUGUUAUUUUCUUUUGCUAAGCAAUAAAUUUGUGUUACUUUUUAAUUCACAAAUACUGAUAAUCUAUACAGUAAGUUGAUCUUAUAGGACUGGAGAAUGUCAACGAGACAACGAGGUAUCACCAACAAGACAGUUAGGUUGCGGCCGUGAUGGAUAUUUUGGUUGAAGGAUAUUACUGAGUACUAGAGGCCAGGUUAAAGUGGAGAGAACCUAAUAGCAAAAUAUGUAUUUGUAGUUCAUAUAUUUAUAAUGCUUGAAGUAUAAGUGGUCUUAUAUACUUAUAGCUAGUGCACAUAUUAUACAUAUUUCUUCGUGUUUUGCUUAUUAUUGACUCUUUACACUUAGGUACAAAUUAAUAUUUGGUUUCAUCUAUAUUUACCUCGUGAAAGGUUGGGUAACUUUGCUCCCGCUAUUAUCCAGGAACUCGAGAGAAGUCUUUUUGUGGAUCAGUUGGAAAUGAUUUUUUUGGAGUUUUAUGCCCGUUACAAUUAGCUUUAUUUUGGUUGUUUUACUUCCUUUAGGUUCAUCAGAUCUUUCUCAAUAGCUGGAGUGAUAUCUUAUUGUACGCUGCUUCAUCUUUUGAGUCAUGUGCCAAUUUAAACCUUUUAUACAUAGCUUCUCGGCAUCAUCAACCCCUCUCAUCAUUGCUCCUGACUCUCAUGAAGUUACGUCCAUUGCAGAAAUGACCUCACAAACUUCAGUUGGAGUUUUCAACGUUGAGACGGCAAUGUCAGUAUCAGAUGCUGCAAACGAAAAAAAUGCUCAACAGAUAGAAAGCCAUUUGAUUGUCCAAACUGUAAGCAGCUUCUAUGGACAGUUAUUGCGUUGAAGGUGUAGUAUGCGUAAAGUGACAUUUUGAGGUGGCCCUUUGGUUUGAUUUUUUGCGUAAAGUAUAUUUUGUUUUGAACUUAAGUCACCUCCUACGGCGAUAAAUUUAGUAGAUCAAUUUAGGAGGUCCUAAUGACUAUAAAUCUACGCUGCGACGUGUUGAGUGUUUUGCCUGCUUAAUGUGCAUCUUUAGUGUCAUUAAUAAGGUUCAAAUGCAUUCUUUUCCUCAACAAUGAAGCACUAAACAAUUGAUAUUCCAUUUAUUGCAAUUCUUUUUCAAUUAUCAGUCUUGAACUAUACAUAUAUUUGUACUUCUUUCCCUUUGCACCUUCUUCGUUAUAACCCACACUUUAUUUGCGCUUUGUGCUUAAAGCCUCAAAGGACCUUAGAGAUUUUUUCUUUCGAUAACACUGGACGAUGGAAGUACUUGGGGUGAAUUACUGUUCCUAGGCUUGAUGCAGACAACACAUUUUCAUUUGGCUGAAAUUUUAAUGUCACAUUAAUUAUCAUCUUCUUUUUAUAAAUCCUUUUUUAGUGGAGGGAGCUUUACUUAUGACUUAGCUAAAGAGAAAAUCUAACUGAAGAGCAUUCUGUAUGGGUUGUUUUCAUUCUAAAUAUGAAACAGUUUUCACAUAGACAUCAUUUAGUGUUGAGCAUUUUAAUCUAUGUUUGAACCCUUUUUCUCUUCCAAGUUUUUUGCUUGAUAGAAAUCUGGAGCUGGAAGCAGGUUUUGGCAUGAAACUUGUACUACUAAUGUUUUAGGGAAAUAGAAGACGUCCCUCAAAGUCGUAUUAACACAAAAUAAGUCGAUUCCUACAUUUUUCAAUUCCCACAAGCUUUUAGCUACUCAGAGGAAGAGGUAGAUAGACUGUUCAUGAUUGACUUGGGGGAAUCAUAUAGUCCACUCCAUUUACACCACAGGGAUAUGGAAAGAAGCCUAGACCAAAGGACGCUGACUUAUGAAAAGAGCUUAUGAGAAGGCAGCGUCUGGGACUUCUUUCAAAAGGUGGUCGAUUUAGUUAAGGAGUUUGAGAUACAAAACUAAGGAUGAGCAGUUGUGUGCUACAAUUUUGAAAUAUAAGUUUUGGCUCAGUUCUAUAGCAUUUUUGAAACAUGUGGUGUUCAGUGAUGGUAUUAUGAUAAUCCGGUAGAGAUUGAAGUAGCUAGGAAUUCGUCUAGCCUACUUGACCUACCAAUAAGUCAAGUUUUAUGAGGUUGAAUGAUCAGUACAGACAGUUCAUGGAGGAAUUCUUUUCUAUUGGUCUUCCUUGACCAAAUUGACUAAGAACAAUAUGGUAUUCUAGUAGCUUGAUGAGUGUGAGAUAAGAUUUGAAAAGCUCAAUAUUUUAUUGUCUAAGACUCUUAUUCUAGCCUUGUAUGUGUAAGGUAAAUGCUUCAUAGUGGAUUUUGAUGCUUUAUGGAGUGGCCUUUGAUAUGUUGUGAUGUAGAAGGUUAAGGUUAUUACUUAUGCUUUGACACAAUUAAAAGUUCACAUGAAGAACUUUCUCAUUCAUGACUUAGACUUGACAACAAUAGUAUUUUCUUAGAAGAUUUUAAGGAAUUAUCUGUAUAGGUUCAUUAUGAGUUUCUCAGUAAUGAUUGCAACGAAGAGUUUUGAGACAACGAAGUUGGUUGAAUUUGCUUAAGAACUUUGACAUGACUACUCUUUAUCACUCGGACAAGGCUAAUGCAGUGGUGGAUGUCUUGAGUAAAAAAUAGUGAAUAUGGUAGUCUUAAUCUAUUACUAGUGGAGGAGUGGCCUUUGACUAUGUAUGUUCAGACCUUGGCUAAUAGCUUCAUGAGACUUAAUAUUUUUGAAACCUAGUAGAGUUCUUGCAUACAUUAAGGCACAAUCACUUUUAGUGGAGCAAAUUAAAGCUAGAAAGUUUGAAGAUAGGAAACUAUGUUUGAUUCGGAAUAAUGUGUUGAGUGACGAAGCUAAUGAAACAAUUCUAGACUAGGAAAGAUUUUUGAGGAUCAAGUAUCAAAUUUAUAUUCAUUAAAUUGAUGAUUUAAAUAGAGUGAUCAAGGAGGAAGCCCACAAUUUAAUGUAUUCUAUUUAUUUUGGAGCUACAAAUAUGUAUUGACUUGAAAUAAUAUUAUUAGCGGUGUGGAAUAAAGAGAGACAACAUGGAGUUUGUGUCCAAGUAUUUACAUUGCGAAUAGGUAGGGUAUGAUCACUAGAGACCGGGUGGCAUGACUCUGAAGAUGCAUAUAGCUGAGUGAAAAUGGGAGCAUAUUGCCAUGGAUUUUUAUGGUUAACUUGUCUCAGGCUUUGAGGAAGUUUGAUGGUAUUUGGGAUAUAUGGACAGGUUGACCAAAUCCGCUCAGUUUGCAUUGGUUUAAAUAACAUUCAGAGAGGUAGACUAAGAUUUACAUCUAUGUGGUUGAUCAUUUAUAUGAAGUUCCUAUUUCUAUUAUUUUAAACCGUGGUACCCAGUUUACGUCAUACUUUUUAUCACGACCCAAGACAACACCCUAGUCGUAACACGGUGCUUGAAACCACAAGUGAUCCCAAUCUAAACCAUGAACUGGCAUACUGUUGAGCAACUGAUUUAAUAUGUAAAACAAAACUUAAUUUGCUGAGUGGAAGCAUAAUCAUGAAAAGUCUGAAUAAAUGUAAUACUGAUACAGUUUACAUCAUGAUACAACUGAAGAAAGAACUCAAAUUGCAUGACUGACUCUGACUGGCAUCUAUGAAGCCUCUACUAUACUGAAUAUAGAUAGCUGGGACAUGCCUCCAACUACCACUAAUCAAUACACAUAGAAAACCAAAAAAAUAUAGUACAUGAUUUAUAACUAUCUGGAGUUCUCGAAAUAGGAGAACUUAUCACCUGCUGGCUGAAAGCUACAAACUGUUUGACACUGGUGUAAGAGCUACAUAUGGUACCUACAUUAUGAAGGAUGUAUCCACAAACGCAUAUAUAUGGUUAGUACGCUGGAAUGUACUGAGUAUAUGGAGAUAUACUGUAAAAUUGAGGAUAUAAGUUAUUUGCUGAAAUAUACAUUUGAAACACGACUAUACUUAAAAACUGUAAAUCAUAGAGAAUUUUAUAAAUCAUGAGCUGAAAAUAAUUUUGUAAGCUAAGACGCGGUAGAAACAUAUAUGCUGUAAGCCAUUCUCUUAUGGGGCUGAUUAUGCUGAAUAUGCUGUAGAAGCUAUACUGAGGAUGACAUAUGAAUACUGCGUCUGAAACUAUGUGGUAGGAUCUGACAUAACUCAUGGAUCUGAAUAUACAAAUAUACUGAGCAUGAACAAAUAAACAUUCAAAACCAACAUAACAUUUGCUAAGUAGAUUUGAUUAACUGAGUGACUGAUGUUUAUGUGACCGAACAACUGAAAUUUAAGUAAAGGGAUAACUAACAUCGGUAUGCUGAGUAGUGGAUAUAUGAAUAUUGAUCAUGUAAAAUUGAACUGUACUUAGUCUGGAUAACUGGACUAAAAUUAUGGGGUACUAUGCAUAUGAGAUAAGGACUAACAGAACAACAUGAGAUAACUGAGCAUGAAUUCAUGAAAACUACAAUA